GGGGUUGUGUUGAGGUUACUACCCUCAGAGUGCUAUUAGUUUAGUUGACUCUCAGUGUGGU
Molecule: transfer RNA, 61 nt
Filed under: Pseudoacanthocephalus sp.
Lineage: Eukaryota; Metazoa; Acanthocephala; Palaeacanthocephala; Echinorhynchida; Pseudoacanthocephalidae
Description: tRNA-Ser
Source: RNAcentral